CAGCAGCCGCGGGAAUACGAAGGGGGCUAGCGUUGUUCGGAAUUACUGGGCGUAAAGCGCACGUAGGCGGAUAUUUAAGUCAGGGGUGAAAUCCCGCAGCUCAACUGCGGAACUGCCUUUGAUACUGGGUAUCUUGAGUAUGGAAGAGGUUAGUGGAAUUGCGAGUGUAGAGGUGAAAUUCGUAGAUAUUCGCAGGAACACCAGUGGCGAAGGCGGCUAACUGGUCCAUAACUGACGCUGAGGUGCGAAAGCGUGGGGAGCAAACAGGAUUAGAGACCCCUGUAGUCCCUGUCUUUAUACA
Molecule: ribosomal RNA, 301 nt
Filed under: uncultured bacterium
Lineage: Bacteria
Description: partial 16S ribosomal RNA
Rfam family: Bacterial small subunit ribosomal RNA
Source: RNAcentral